GUAGGUGGCAAGCGUUGUCCGGAAUUAUUGGGCGUAAAGCGCGCGCAGGUGGUUCUUUAAGUCUGAUGUGAAAGCCCCCGGGCUCAACCGGGGAGGGUCAUUGGAAACUGGGGAACUUGAGUGCAGGAGAGGAGAGUGGAAUUCCACGUGUAGCGGUGAAAUGCGUAGAUAUGUGGAGGAACACCAGUGGCGAAGGCGACUUUCUGGCCUGUAACUGACACUGAGGCGCGAAAGCGUGGGGAGCAAACAGGAUUAGAUACCCUGGUAGUCCACGCCGUAAACGAUGAGUGCUAAGUGUUGGGGGGUUUCCGCCCCUCAGUGCUGCAGCUAACGCAUUAAGCACUCCGCCUGGGGAGUACGGUCGCAAGACUG
This 372-nucleotide ribosomal RNA is filed under the name uncultured organism. RNAcentral describes it as "partial 16S ribosomal RNA". It matches the Rfam family "Bacterial small subunit ribosomal RNA", at positions 527 to 896 of the family's 1533-position model. The record is from RNAcentral.